Molecule: ribosomal RNA, 440 nt
Filed under: uncultured bacterium
Lineage: Bacteria
Description: partial 16S ribosomal RNA
Rfam family: Bacterial small subunit ribosomal RNA
Source: RNAcentral
CCUACGGGUGGCAGCAGUGGGGAAUAUUGCACAAUGGGGGAAACCCUGAUGCAGCGACGCCGCGUGAGUGAAGAAGGAUUUCGGGAUGUAAAGCACUAUCAGCAGGGAAGAGAAUGACGGUACCUGAGUAAGAAGCCCCGGCCAACUACGUGCCAGCAGCCGCGGUAAUACGUAGGGGGCAAGCGUUAUCCGGAUUUACUGGGUGUAAGGGGAGCGUGGACGGGGAAGGAAGUCUGAAGGGAAAGCCCGCGGCUCAACCGCGGAACUGAUUUGGAAACUUUUUUGCUGGAGUACCGGAGAGGUAAGCGGAAUUCCUCGUGUAGCGGUGAAAUGCGUAGAUAUUAGGAGGAACCCCAGUGGCGAAGGCGGCUUACUGGACGGUAACUGACGUUGAGGCUCGAAAGCGUGGGGAGCAAACAGGAUUAGAUACCCCAGUAGUC